AUUUUUAACCCUUAAUUUAGCUCUAAACUCCUAAUUUCUCUCCAUAGAUAAACCCUAAGAUUUUCAGACGAAGGCUACUUGGUGGUGUGCGGCGGCAACUAUGAUAGAGCCUCUAGCUAUUGUGUUCUUUUUCAUCCAUUGUUAGCUUCAAUUUAAAUGUUAGGUGUUAAUUGUUUUUGUAGUUAGGGUUAAGAAAUCCUAAUUUUUAAG
Molecule: long non-coding RNA, 210 nt
Filed under: Panax ginseng (ginseng)
Lineage: Eukaryota; Viridiplantae; Streptophyta; Magnoliopsida; Apiales; Araliaceae
Description: long non-coding RNA (PGIN_LNC016842)
Source: RNAcentral